This 466-nucleotide ribosomal RNA is filed under the name uncultured bacterium. RNAcentral's name for it is "bacterial SSU rRNA". It matches the Rfam family "Bacterial small subunit ribosomal RNA", at positions 355 to 825 of the family's 1533-position model. The record is from RNAcentral.
UAGGGAAUAUUGGACAAUGGGUGAGAGCCUGAUCCAGCCAUGUCGCGUGCAGGAAGAAGGCGUUAUGCGUUGUAAACUGCUUUUGCCAGGGGAUAAAAAGACCGUGCGCGGUUAAUUGAAGGUACCUGGUGAAUAAGCCACGGCUAACUACGUGCCAGCAGCCGCGGUAAUACGUAGGUGGCAAGCGUUGUCCGGAUUUAUUGGGUUUAAAGGGUGCGUAGGUGGCCCUGUAAGUCAGUGGUGAAAUAUCUCAGCUUAACUGAGAGGGUGCCAUUGAUACUGCAGGGCUUGAGUACAGAUGAGGUAGGCGGAAUUGACGGUGUAGCGGUGAAAUGCAUAGAUAUCGUCAAGAACACCGAUAGCGAAGGCAGCUUACCAAGCUGUAACUGACACUGAGGCACGAAAGUGUGGGGAUCAAACAGGAUUAGAUACCCUGGUAGUCCCUGAGCGGGCUGGCAAGGCGCAU